CCUACGGGUGGCAGCAGUGAGGAAUAUUGGUCAAUGGGCGCGAGCCUGAACCAGCCAAGUCGCGUGAGGGAGGACGGCCCUACGGGUUGUAAACCUCUUUUGCCGGGGAGCAACGGGCGUCACGUGUGGCGCCACUGAGAGUACCCGGAGAAAAAGCAUCGGCUAACUCCGUGCCAGCAGCCGCGGUAAUACGGAGGAUGCGAGCGUUAUCCGGAUUUAUUGGGUUUAAAGGGUGCGUAGGCGGAUCGUUAAGUCAGCGGUAAAAUCGUGGAGCUCAACUCCAUCCAGCCGUUGAAACUGAUGAUCUUGAGUGGGCGAGAAGUAUGCGGAAUGCGUGGUGUAGCGGUGAAAUGCAUAGAUAUCACGCAGAACUCCGAUUGCGAAGGCAGCAUACCGGCGCCCGACUGACGCUGAAGCACGAAAGCGUGGGUAUCGAACAGGAUUAGAUACCCUUGUAGUC
This 460-nucleotide ribosomal RNA is filed under the name uncultured bacterium. Its description in RNAcentral is "partial 16S ribosomal RNA". It matches the Rfam family "Bacterial small subunit ribosomal RNA", at positions 338 to 795 of the family's 1533-position model. The record is from RNAcentral.